UAGCAAUACUGCAUUCAGUGGCGGACGGGUGCGUAACACGUGAACAAUCUGCCCGGAAGAGGGGGAUAGCCCAGGGAAACUUGGAUUAAUACCCCGUGUGAUCGGAAUGGGCAUCCAUUCCACAUCAAAGGUGCUGCAAGGUGCCGCUUCCGGAUGAGUUCGCGCCCUAUCAGCUUGUUGGCGGGGUAACGGCCCACCAAGGCAAUGACGGGUAGCUGGUCUGAGAGGAUGACCAGCCACACUGGAACUGAGACACGGUCCAGACACCUACGGGUGGCAGCAGUCGAGAAUCAUUCACAAUGGGCGAAAGCCUGAUGGUGUGACGCCGCGUGGAGGAUGAAGGUCUUCGGAUUGUAAACUCCUGUCAAGUGAGAGUAAAGCCGGGCGUUAACUGCGUGCCGGUUUGAGAGUAUCACUAGAGGAAGAGACGGCUAACUCUGUGCCAGCAGCCGCGGUAAUACAGAGGUCUCAAGCGUUGUUCGGAAUCACUGGGCGUAAAGGGUGCGUAGGCCGCACGGUAAGUCAGAGGUGAAAUCCCGGAGCUCAACUCCGGAAUUGCCUCCGAUACUGCCGUGCUUGAGGACUGGAGAGGAGAUUGGAAUUCACAGUGGAGCAGUGAAAUGCGUAGAUAUUGUGAGGAACACUAGUGGCGAAGGCGAAUCUCUGGACAGUUCCUGACGCUGAGGCACGAAGGCCAGGGGAGCAAACGGGAUUAGAUACCCCGGUAGUCCUGGCAGUAAACGGUGCACGCUUGGUGUGGCAGGAUUCGACCCCUGCCGUGCCGGAGCUAACGCGUUAAGCGUGCCGCCUGGGAAGUACGGUCGCAAGAUUAAAACUC
This 838-nucleotide ribosomal RNA is filed under the name uncultured Verrucomicrobiae bacterium. RNAcentral describes it as "bacterial SSU rRNA". It matches the Rfam family "Bacterial small subunit ribosomal RNA", at positions 77 to 902 of the family's 1533-position model. Lineage: Bacteria; Pseudomonadati; Verrucomicrobiota; Verrucomicrobiia. The record is from RNAcentral.